GUUGGCUGCUGUGGGAGCGGGCUCGCGCCCGGGUGGCUCCGUAAAAGAAAAAAAAAGAAAAAAACGGUGUGACAGCUCAGCGCUGUCCACGUCAACACACCGAGCGAGCUGCGAGCGAGCACGGCGGCGGCGGCAGCAGCAGCAGCGAUGGACUCUCUGGAACCUUCCCUCUACACAGUGAAAGCUGUUUUCAUUCUUGACAAUGAUGGCAACAGACUUCUGUCAAAGUACUAUGACCCUGAGCUUUACCCCUCCAUGAAGGAACAGAAGAACUUUGAGAUGAACGUUUUCAACAAGACACACAAAGCAGACAAUGAGAUAGCUUUCCUGGAGGGGAUGACCAUCGUCUAUAAGAGCAGUAUAGAUCUCUUCUUCUAUGUGGUGGGAAGUGCUCAGGAGAACGAGCUGAUGCUGAUGUCAGUACUGAACUGCCUGUUUGAGUCCCUCAGUCAGAUCCUCAGGAAAAAUGUGGAGCGGAGGUGUUUACUGGACAACAUGGAAGGAGUGUUUCUGGUUGUGGAUGAAAUCAUUGAUGGCGGGGUGAUUCUGGAGAGUGACCCCCAGCAGGUCCUACAGAAGGUCAACUACAGGCUAAUGUCAGAGCCAGCCUAUGGCUUCGUCCUGUUUGAUUACAUCACCGGUAACGUAGAGGGAGAAACAGUCAAGAGCCAGCUGCUGUAAGCAGACAGACAGAGGGCGGAUGAAAACCCAUUAUCUGAACAAAGCGUGGCCCAGGUUCUGCAGUCGGCCAAAGAGCAGAUCAAAUGGUCCAUUUUGAAAUGACUCGGACCAGACGCAUUUAGGAUUCUCAUGAAAAAAUAGAUAAAAAUAUUUAGUCCCAAAGCUAUUUUUUAUUAUAGUAACAGACUAAAGGGAAGGCCGUUACAAGCCUGUUGGCCAAUAGGCUGCUUUAUAGCAAUUAACCAGCUAGAUUUUCUUUCUGUGUUAUGGCAUUUUUGUUACAUUGUGUGUGUGACAUGUCAUUUAUUUAUUUGGUUGGAGAGUGAUGUUAGUUCACAGUCAUGAAGGUUUGUCAUUUAACAGGCCAAAUGACAUCAGGAAAUGGGGAGAAGCAAAGACUCAGGUCUCAAUAUCCAGCUGUGCUUCUGUAAAGGACAGCUGUUACACCAAAGUAAUCUGUUCAAAUACUGGAAGCCUGAUUUGGUGAUCCAUAAUCUAUUGCUUUUAUUUUGGUGAAGCAGGAGCUUUCACUUUAACAGAAUUUGACUGUAGGAUUUAUUUCAGCUGUUUUUGCAGAUUGCUGAUGUGUCAAUUAAAAAAAAUAAGAAGAAAUGACACCGUUUUAUACUUGACGAACUUUUCCGCCCAAAUGUUACAAAUGCUAAAAAAAAUAAAUAAAUAUGGCAACAAUCUAUUUAAGGAAACAUAGUCAUAUCAAUCUAAGGAUAAUCUAAAAAAUAAAAUAAAAAAAAGAAUAGACAAAAACAAAGCAAAUGCAGAUGUCUGCAGCAAACAUCUGCAAAUUGAAGCCAAAAAACUGAAUAUCGAAGAAAAUGGUGUUUUCAUUUGAACCAUGAAAUGUGGGUGGUGUUAAAUACGCACACACAUACACACACACACGCACACGCACACGCACACGCACACACACACACACACGGACGGAUGGAAGGACAUCAUUUGUGCACUGAAUUGCUCAGUUUAACCCAGUUUGUUGCUGUGCAGUACUGGUGCAUGUGUUUUGUAAAGCUUAUUUAAAGACUGUUAAAGAAUGUAAUGAUCCCUAAUGAAACUAAACAAAUGUUA
Molecule: RNA transcript, 1764 nt
Organism: Perca fluviatilis (European perch)
Lineage: Eukaryota; Metazoa; Chordata; Actinopteri; Perciformes; Percidae
Gene: copz2
Gene name: COPI coat complex subunit zeta 2
Exons: 10
Source: RefSeq, a predicted model, not a curated record